RNA transcript from Oryzias latipes (Japanese medaka), 2767 nucleotides. It is a transcript of the gene named YTH N6-methyladenosine RNA binding protein C1, with no coding region annotated. The record is from RefSeq and is a predicted model, not a curated record. NCBI's taxonomy places the organism in Eukaryota, Metazoa, Chordata, Actinopteri, Beloniformes, Adrianichthyidae.
ACGCUGCUGUCCCUUCUGGGGGCGGUGCUAAUCCCGCGUCGACGCGCUGUUUACCGUAAACACCAGAAGAAGAAAACGACGCGGUCCGCCAUUAGUGUCGUUCGCUCGUGUCUUCAUUUGAGGAGUUCUCAUCAAGUCUGCACAUUUUAGCUGCGCGCGAGGCAGCGAGACGCCCCAGCCCGCGCUAUGGCGGCCGAACGGCGCGAGGACAAAGACGGCGAGCUGAACGUGCUGGAGGACCUGCUGACGGAAGCCCCGGAUCAGGACGAUGAGCUGUACAACCCGGACACGGAACGGGACCUGAGUGACAAGAAAGGAACAAAGAGGAAGAGCGAACGGUCUGAUAGCCAAGAUCUGAAGAGGCUCCGCCUUCCAUCAAGCCACGCCUCUUCCACUAAGAGAGGCUUGGGCUCAUCAGCGUCAUCCUCUAAGAAGUCGUCCAGCCCUCGCGGCCGCCCCUCUGCUGCUUACCGUCACGACUACUAUGAAGAGCGAAAGCGGCGGCGCGACUCCCGAGACGCCGUUCGGAGCCGCAGAGGUGAGGAUGGACGGCGCCGAGACCUCCAGAGGGGCCCGGACCUAAACCAGAAACUGGUUCGGGACGAGCGGCCAGCCAGCUCCGACCUCCGUGACGACAGCCAAUCAGAGGAUGAGGUGGUGGGAGAGUACGGCUCAGAGCAGGCAUCUGGAAGCUCCUCCCCCACUGCCUCCCAUGCAGAGGAGGAAGAAGAGGAGGAGCAGGAGGAAGAGGAUGAGGAGGAGGAGGAGGAGGAGGAAGAAGAAGGAAUGGAGGAAGAAGAGGAGGAAGGCGUGAAGGAGGAGGAAGAAGAGGAGGAGGAAGAGUAUGACGAGCGCCGUGGUGGAGACAGUAACGACUACGACACUCGCAGCGAAGCUGGCGGGUCGCGCUCCGCCUCCUCGGUCAGCUUCUCUGAAGAGGGCGAGUCUGUGCACUCGGGCUCUGCAUCAGAGGCUUCAGGUUCCGAUAAGAAGCAGGAGAAGCUGUCGUCGUCUGUGCGAGCCGUUCGUAAAGGCGUGGAAAAUCCCACCAGCAAGCUGCGCUACAUCCUGCGUGACGCUCGCUUUUUCCUCAUCAAGAGCAAUAACCACGAGAACGUGUCCCUGGCUAAAGCCAAAGGAGUCUGGUCCACGUUACCGGUCAACGAGAAGAAGCUGAACGCGGCGUUUCGCUCGGCGCGGAGCGUCAUCCUCAUCUUCUCUGUGAGGGAAAGCGGAAAAUUUCAAGGUUUUGCUCGGCUGGCCUCAGAGUCUCAACAUGGCGGCUCUCCCAUCCAUUGGGUGCUUCCUGCCGGCAUUAAUGCUAAGAUGCUGGGAGGAGUCUUUAAAAUCGACUGGCUCUGCAGGAGGGAGCUGCCCUUCAUCAAGACGGCCCACCUCUCCAACCCAUGGAACGAGCACAAGCCGAUCAAAAUUGGACGAGAUGGACAGGAGAUCCAGCCGGACGUCGGCGCUCAACUCUGUGGACUGUUUCCAUUGGACGAGAGUGUGGAUGUUCAUCAGGUGUCUCGCCGCAUUCGGCACAAACGCAGGACACCGACGGAGCCGCGGCCCCGAGGCCGACCGCCACUGAGAGAACCGGGAAGGUUAGCCAAUCAUCAAGCUCCUCCCCCGCAUCCUGUACUGCUGCAACCACGGUGCCACCCGCUGCCGGACCAUGGAUACAACGGCGACCUUUACCUGGCGGCGCUCAGGUGGUGGUUGGUCGCUGCGCCCCUCUGCGUCUGGUUGGAGGCUGACGGUCAGGCAGGAAGUAACGUUAACGUCUGAUGCAGGUUUAUUUGUGGUGUUUGCCGUAGCAGCAACCCGUCUGGUUGAGUUCUGAUCAGUUCUGAGGGGAAGUCUUCCGCUGGCGUAAACGUCCUGUCAAGCUCUCUGUCUUUGCAGGAGUUUGGUGCUUUGGAGUUAAAAACCAUUCAGCUUUAGUGGGACUGGCUCGGCUUUUCAAAAUAAGAGCACCACUGGCCGGACUGAUGGUGAGGGGAGGACGUGCAAGGUAGAGCUAAAGCAAAACGAGAGUAAGGGACUGGAUUCCGUGUGAGAAGGGGGAACAGGUAAGGGGGGCAGGGGGUGGGGCCUGAGGACUGUUGGGGCCAGGGUACCCACCUCUUGAGGUAAAUAAAGGACAAAUGAAUAAAAAAAAGAACUUCUUGGACUAAUGGUGUUCCCCCCCCCCCCCCGCCCUACAUCAAGAGGACACUGUUGCCCCCCACCCCCCAUGCUUCCUCGCACCCCUACCCACCCCCCUGGCACACGCAGAGAAUGAGGACUCCGAGCCAGGUUGUUAAGGACGGACUGUUUUGUGGGCGGGGUCUCUGGCCCUGAAUGGGAGGGUGGGUGGAGCUAACGAGAAGGAAGGCGUGGAAAGGAAUGGACAGUUUUUUUGUCUUGGACUGCUAGUCUGAGAAGGGAGGGAGGGGCUGAUGGGAGUGGGAAUUUAUGUUGCUUGACAGAACUUCAUCAUCAUCAUCAUCAUCUCCUCACCCUUUCAAAAUAAGAGGGGUUAAAAAGCACUUAAGUGGACUGAUGAGGAGAAAAACUGUUUGUGUAAAAAGUGUUGCCCCUCCUUCAUAGACGACAGAAGCGGCGUCGGCUGGAAGAGUACGACAUCCACAGCAGGAAGCGACCGCGAGCCGACGGCCUACCGGACUUUGUACAACGAGCAGGAUUCCUCCAGGACCCACGGAACCAGCCGGUGGACAGGAGGUUCUCGGGCGUCAGGAGGGACGUCUUCCUCAACGGGGUGAGU